AUACGUAGGGGGCUAGCGUUAUCCGGAAUUACUGGGCGUAAAGGGUGCGUAGGUGGUUUCUUAAGUCAGAAGUGAAAGGCUACGGCUCAACCGUAGUAAGCUUUUGAAACUAAGAGACUUGAGUGCAGGAGAGGAGAGUAGAAUUCCUAGUGUAGCGGUGAAAUGCGUAGAUAUUAGGAGGAAUACCAGUUGCGAAGGCGGCUCUCUGGACUGUAACUGACACUGAGGCACGAAAGCGUGGGGAGCAAACAGGAUUAGAUACCCUGGUAGUCCACGCCGUAAACGAUGAGUACUAGCUGUCGGGGGUUACCCCCCUCGGUGGCGCAGCUAACGCAUUAAGUACUCCGCCUGGGAAGUACGCUCGCAAGAGUGAAACUCAAAGGAAUUGGCGGG
RNAcentral lists this ribosomal RNA (393 nucleotides) under uncultured bacterium. RNAcentral's name for it is "partial 16S ribosomal RNA". It matches the Rfam family "Bacterial small subunit ribosomal RNA", at positions 523 to 917 of the family's 1533-position model. The record is from RNAcentral.